Long non-coding RNA from Pollicipes pollicipes, 493 nucleotides. RefSeq lists it as uncharacterized. The transcript is spliced from 3 exons. Lineage: Eukaryota; Metazoa; Arthropoda; Thecostraca; Pollicipedomorpha; Pollicipedidae. The record is from RefSeq and is a predicted model, not a curated record.
GAUGGGUGGCGGCUUAGAUAGCUCUGGCGGCGCGCGGAAGUCCUUCAGUUGGUGAGGUUGGAGGUAAUUUUCUAUUUUUUUGUCACGUUUUUCAGUCGCUGUUAAGCGGAAGACUCCAUUAAAACGGAUGCCUUUGUGGAUCAGGUGUAUGACACCUGUUUCGCCACAUUCGGCUCUCGUGGUAUGAGUCUGUAGUCCCGUAAAGGGCCUGGACUUGACUUGUGCUGCUGGUCACCUUAUGACACCCAGGUACCGGAAAUUGCUUGGCUGGCAGUGAGACAUCGCUUUACAGCAGAGACGAGAUGCCCCCAGGCCGGCGCCGAUGCGGUGUGCGGCGCGUGAAGAGGCCCGCGGAGGACGGCCCCCGGCGGCCGGCGAAGCGGGCCCGCCGGAGCGGAGCCGGCGCUCGGCUCGCCUGGUGGCAGACGGGCACCGUCUACCAGAUCUACCCGCGCUCCUUCUGCGACUCGGACGGCGACGGCGUCGGAGACCU